This is a long non-coding RNA of Onychomys torridus (southern grasshopper mouse), 204 nucleotides long. RefSeq lists it as uncharacterized. The record is from RefSeq and is a predicted model, not a curated record. The transcript is spliced from 3 exons. Lineage: Eukaryota; Metazoa; Chordata; Mammalia; Rodentia; Cricetidae.
GGGAAGAGGACACCUCAGUUGAGGAACUGCUUCCACUGGAUUGGCCUGCCGGUCAUUAUCCCAGCACACUGAGUACAGCUAGGCAGGAAAAUGUGAUACACGAAGAACAGAGUUGAGGGGUGCUGACUGGGAUCCCAUCACCAUUUCUCUGCACAGAGGAAGAUUGAGAGGCUGGCCCCUGACCCAGACCAAGAUUACCACAGG